RNAcentral lists this ribosomal RNA (897 nucleotides) under uncultured marine bacterium. RNAcentral's name for it is "bacterial SSU rRNA". It matches the Rfam family "Bacterial small subunit ribosomal RNA", at positions 56 to 1002 of the family's 1533-position model. The record is from RNAcentral.
UGCAGUCGAACGAAGUAGCAAUACUUAGUGGCAGACGGGUGAGUAACAUGUAGGUAUCUACCCUUUGGCCUGGAAUAACACGAGGAAACUUGUGCUAAUACCGGAUAAGUCUUUACGGAGAAAGCUUUAUGCACCAUUGGAUGAGCCUGCACUUGAUUAGUUUGUUGGUGGGGUAAUGGCCUACCAAGACUGUGAUCAAUAGCUGAUUUGAGAGGAUGAUCAGCCACAUUGGGACUGAGACACGGCCCAAACUCCUACGGGAGGCAGCAGUGGGGAAUCUUGCACAAUGGAGGAAACUCUGAUGCAGCGAUGCCGCGUGAGUGAAGAAGGCCCUUGGGUUGUAAAGCUCUUUCGUCGGGGAAGAAAAUGACUGUACCCGAAUAAGAAGGUCCGGCUAACUUCGUGCCAGCAGCCGCGGUAAUACGAAGGGACCUAGCGUAGUUCGGAAUUACUGGGCUUAAAGAGUUCGUAGGUGGUUGAAAAAGUUAGUGGUGAAAUCCCAGAGCUUAACUCUGGAACUGCCAUUAAAACUUUUCAGCUAGAGUAUGAUAGAGGAAAGCAGAAUUUCUAGUGUAGAGGUGAAAUUCGUAGAUAUUAGAAAGAAUACCAAUUGCGAAGGCAGCUUUCUGGAUCAUUACUGACACUGAGGAACGAAAGCAUGGGUAGCGAAGAGGAUUAGGUACCCUCGUAGUCCAUGCCGUAAACGAUGUGUGUUAGACGUUGGAAAUUUAUUUUCAGUGUCGCAGCGAAAGCGAUAAACACACCGCCUGGGGAGUACGACCGCAAGGUUAAAACUCAAAUGAAUUGACGGGGACCCGCACAAGUAGUGGAGCAUGUGGUUCAAUUCGAAGAUACGCGCAGAACCUUUACAACACUUGACAUGUUCGUCGCGACUCU